GCUGUAAAUCUAGCUUAAGCACAAUUCAAGUCAACACUAUUAAAAAAUUAUGUGACAAACAAACAAACUAAAACAUUCUACCACCCUAGUAUGUGAGACAGAAAAG
RNAcentral lists this ribosomal RNA (106 nucleotides) under Plotosus japonicus. Its description in RNAcentral is "partial 16S ribosomal RNA". Lineage: Eukaryota; Metazoa; Chordata; Actinopteri; Siluriformes; Plotosidae. The record is from RNAcentral.